CGGCGGGUGUGGCGCGUGCGCACACACGCACACCGACACGCACUCCUCCCGGCUCCGCGUCACGUCACUCAAUCACGUGCAUCAAGCUUCUCAAUAUGACGGUGGCGUGCGCCUAGCGGUCCCCGUCGACCGACCGAUGUUCACGGAACAAUACAAUUUACUACUGGGGAUACGUGUUAUUUUUAAAACGUCCUCGAUAUAUUUUCAUUGUUGACAUAACAUUCAAGUAAAUUAGCCACGAUAAUAAUAUGUGUAGGUAUCUUAUCAAUAUAAGCUAAAAUAUCCGUAAGUAUAACGUUCGACGCCGGAAGCUCAGAUAGUAAGCACCUUCUCUUAGGACGCUACAGAUAGAGUAAGUCGUGACUCUGCAGCUGAAAUUAGGACAAGACCCGCUAUCCGGUGUGCCGCGGCCGCUCCAUAACGGUAUGUUCCGUGGUUGUUCCCGCCCGGAUUCGUCAAAGGCAAAUUGUGGAUCCGAGAAUGGAUAAGAUUUACAAUUAUUAUUAAUAUUUACACGCGAGCCCAGCUGCGGC
Molecule: long non-coding RNA, 533 nt
Organism: Colias croceus (clouded yellow)
Lineage: Eukaryota; Metazoa; Arthropoda; Insecta; Lepidoptera; Pieridae
Exons: 3
Source: RefSeq, a predicted model, not a curated record